GCGUGGGUGGCGAAAUUGGUAGACGCACUACUUUGAGGUGGUAGCGCCGCGAGGCGUGUGAGUUCGAAUCUCAUCCCGCGCACUA
Molecule: transfer RNA, 85 nt
Filed under: Sphingobacteriales bacterium 50-39
Lineage: Bacteria; Pseudomonadati; Bacteroidota; Sphingobacteriia; Sphingobacteriales
Description: tRNA-Leu
Rfam family: tRNA
About the family: Transfer RNA (tRNA) molecules are approximately 80 nucleotides in length. Their secondary structure includes four short double-helical elements and three loops (D, anti-codon, and T loops).
Source: RNAcentral